GACGAACGCUGGCGGCGUGCUUAACACAUGCAAGUCGAACGGAAAGGCCCUGCUUUUGUGGGGUGCUCGAGUGGCGAACGGGUGAGUAACACGUGAGUAACCUGCCCUUGACUUUGAGAUAACUUCAGGAAACUGGGGCUAAUACCGGAUAGGAGCUCCUGCUGCACGGUGGGGGUUGGAAAGUUUCGGCGGUUGGGGAUGGACUCGCGGCUUAUCAGCUUGUUGGUGGGGUUGUGGCUUACCAAGGCUUUGACGGGUAGCCGGCCUGAGAGGGUGACCGGCCACAUUGGGACUGAGAUACGGCCCAGACUCCUACGGGAGGCAGCAGUGGGGAAUAUUGCACAAUGGGCGGAAGCCUGAUGCAGCAACGCCGCGUGCGGGAUGACGGCCUUCGGGUUGUAAACCGCUUUCGCCUGUGACGAAGCGUGAGUGACGGUAAUGGGUAAAGAAGCACCGGCUAACUACGUG
Molecule: ribosomal RNA, 468 nt
Filed under: uncultured bacterium
Lineage: Bacteria
Description: partial 16S ribosomal RNA
Rfam family: Bacterial small subunit ribosomal RNA
Source: RNAcentral